RNAcentral lists this small nuclear RNA (103 nucleotides) under Strigops habroptila (Kakapo). The record is from RNAcentral. Lineage: Eukaryota; Metazoa; Chordata; Aves; Psittaciformes; Psittacidae.
UUGCUUUGGCAGCACAUAUACUAAAAUUGGAACGACACAGAGAAGAUCAGCAUGGCCCCUGCACAAGGAUGACAUAUAAAUUCAUGAAGCGUUCCAUAUUUUU